GCUGGGCAUGGUGACGCGUGCCUGUAAUCCCAGCUACUCAGGAGGCUGAGGCGGGAGAAUUGCUUGAACCCAGGAGGCGGAGUUUGUAGUGAGCCGAGAUCGCGCCAUUACACUCCAGCCUGGGUAACAAGAGCGAAACUCCGUCUCAA
Molecule: unclassified non-coding RNA, 149 nt
Organism: Callithrix jacchus (white-tufted-ear marmoset)
Lineage: Eukaryota; Metazoa; Chordata; Mammalia; Primates; Cebidae
Rfam family: Metazoan signal recognition particle RNA
About the family: The signal recognition particle (SRP) is a universally conserved ribonucleoprotein. It is involved in the co-translational targeting of proteins to membranes.
Source: Ensembl